GGCGGAUGUGGCCAAGUGGAUCAAGGCAGU
RNAcentral lists this transfer RNA (30 nucleotides) under Utricularia gibba. RNAcentral's name for it is "partial tRNA-His". Lineage: Eukaryota; Viridiplantae; Streptophyta; Magnoliopsida; Lamiales; Lentibulariaceae. The record is from RNAcentral. RNAcentral also lists the same sequence under 20 other names.